This 301-nucleotide ribosomal RNA is filed under the name uncultured bacterium. Its description in RNAcentral is "partial 16S ribosomal RNA". It matches the Rfam family "Bacterial small subunit ribosomal RNA", at positions 509 to 807 of the family's 1533-position model. The record is from RNAcentral.
CAGUCGCCGCGGUAAUACGUAGGGUGCAAGCGUUAAUCGGAAUUACUGGGCGUAAAGCGUGCGCAGGCGGUUAUAUAAGACAGAUGUGAAAUCCCCGGGCUCAACCUGGGAACUGCAUUUGUGACUGUAUAGCUAGAGUACUGCAGAGGGGGAUGGAAUUCCGCGUGUAGCAGUGAAAUGCGUAGAUAUGCGGAGGAACACCGAUGGCGAAGGCAAUCCCCUGGGCCUGUACUGACGCUCAUGCACGAAAGCGUGGGGAGCAAACAGGAUUAGAUACCCCCGUAGUCCCUGUCUCUUAUAC